This is an RNA transcript of Sapajus apella (tufted capuchin), 3027 nucleotides long. It is a transcript of the gene named NEDD8-activating enzyme E1 catalytic subunit pseudogene, with no coding region annotated. The record is from RefSeq and is a predicted model, not a curated record. The transcript has a single exon. Lineage: Eukaryota; Metazoa; Chordata; Mammalia; Primates; Cebidae.
GUUUCUAAAUUCUUUACGUUCUUCUCCUAUCAAUACUAGCACUAAGGAUUAUCAAAAUCACACAGGUUAGAACCCAGCUUUCUAUCUGAGCAUCAGAUUGCAGAGAGAGAGAGAAAGAGAGAGAGACUGAGAGAGAGAGAGGGUGUUGUAGGUGGAGGGCAGGGCAAGGCUUAAACCUGAGGCUUACAUUUUGUGUGCUUCAUUCCUUCUUAUUAAUGACAAUCUGACUAUUAGGCCAGUCCAAACUGGCUUAUGUACCUUCCUGAAAUACAGAUCCAGGGGUCCUCUGGUGUACAAAAAAAUACUAUAGUAAUAAGAAAAUCACAUAUAAAUGGAAUUUUCAAUUACAGGAACUCAAAAGUACAGAUAAAUCAUAAAGAUUUAAUCCAAUAAGAAUUUGUAGGCUGUUAAAAUCAAAUUUAGAAUUAAGUAAAGGAAUUUGGGAAUGGGCAAAAGAUAUACAAAAUAUUUGACAAAUAAAUCUCAGAGAACAUCAAUUUCCUUUAUUGCCCCUACUUCUAUGUUCUCAGAUCCUUGUUAAUCCUGGAAGGGCCCCCGUUGGGUCAGCCUGUGUCUGCUGUGGGGUAUAGUGUCCAAAGAUAUACUCUUAGCCAUUUUGUAUUCACAAUGAUUCAUUUUUUGGAAACUGAAGAAAACUUACUCUAAAAGCCAAGUUGGGGUCGGGGGAGAGAGGAUAAGAACAAGUGCUCUGGCAGGCUACAAAUAACCUAGAAUCAAUAGUUUUCAAGUUUCUGACAGAGCCAGGUUAAGGAUGUUGGAAUUGCAGCAGUUGUACCUACUUGUCAAAGCUGACACACACAUCCUUAGACAAAUGCACACUUAAAUUAAGGAUGCUGAGUUCAAUUGUCAAGGGUCCCCCAUUCCAGGACUAAAAAAAAAAAAAAAAUCCUGGGAGGGAAAAGGGGGAGAACCAUAUGGCCGAUGGCAAGGAGCCGGAGAAGAAAAGAAGGAGAAUAGAGGAGCUGCUGGCUGAGAAAAUUGCUGUUGAUGGUGGGUGUGGGGACACUAGAGACUGGGAAGGUCGCUGGAACCCUAUAAAGAAGUUCCUCGAGCGAUCUGGACCCUUCACACACCCUGAUUUCGAACCGAGCACUGCAUCUCUCCCGUUCUUGUUAGAUACUUGUAAAAUUCUCGUCAUUGGAGCUGGAGGCUUAGGAUGUGAGCUCCUGAAAAAUCUGGCCUUGUCUGGUUUUAGACGGAUUCAUGUUAUAGAUAUGGACACUAUAGACGUUUCCAAUCUAAAUAGGCAGUUUUUAUUUAGGCCUAAAGGUGUUGGAAGACCUAAGGCUGAAGUUGCUGCAGAAUUUCUAAAUGACAGAGUUCCUAAUUGCAAUGUAGUUCCACCUGUCAGCAAGAUUCAAGAUUUUAACGACACUUUCUAUCUACAAUUUCAUAUUAUUGUCUGUGGACUGGACUCUAUCAUAGCCAGAAGUUGGAUAAAUGGCAUGCCGAUAUCUCUUCUAAAUUAUGAAGAUGGUGUCUUAGAUCCAAGCUCCAUUAUCCCUUUGAUAGAUGGAGGGACAGAAGGUUUUAAAGGAAACGCCCGGUUGAUUCUGCCUGGAAUGACUGCUUGUAUCGAAUGCACGCUGGAACUUUAUCCACCACAGGUUAGUUUUCCCAUGUGUACCAUUGCAUCUAUGCCCAGGGUACCAGAGCACUGUAUUGAGUAUGUAAGGAUGUUGCAGUGGCCUAAGGAGCAGCCUUUUGGAGAAGGUGUUCCAUUAGAUGGAGAUGAUCCUGAACAUAUACAACGGAUUUUCCAAAAAUCUCUAGAGAGAGCAUCACAAUAUAAUAUUAGGGGUGUUACAUAUAGACUCACUCAAGGGGUAGUAAAAAGAAUCAUUCCUGCAGCAGCUACCACAAAUGCAGUCAUUGCAGCUGUGUGUGCCACUGAGGUUUUUAAAAUAGCCACAAGUGCAUACAUUCCCUUGAAUAAUUACUUGGUUUUCAGUGAUGUAGAUGGGCUGUAUACAUACACAUUUGAAGCGGAGAGAAAGGAAAACUGCCCAGCCUGUAGCCAGCUUCCUCAAAAUAUUCAAUUUUCUUUAUCAGCUAAACUACAGGAAGCUUUGGAUUAUCUAACCAAUAGUGCUUCUCUGCAAAUGAAAUCUCCAGGCAUCCCAGCCACCCUAGAGGGAAAAAAUAGAACACUUUACUUACAGUCGGUAACCUCUAUUGAAGAACGAACAAGGCCAAAUCUCUCCAAAGCAUUGAAAGAAUUGGGGCUUGUUGAUGGAUAAGAACUGGCGGUUGCUGAUGUCACCGCACCGCAGACUGUGCUAUUCAAACUUCGUUUUAUUUCUUAAGGAAAAUCUGCACAUAAUAGAAAACUCAUGGAAAUAAUAUACUUUGUGGAUGCUAAGACCUUUAAUUGAUGUCAUUUUUAGCAAUGGUGUUGCUAUGGUUUGACUUUUUUUCUAUAAUGAACCACUCUUUUUUAACUUUGUAACUUUCCCUUCAAGAUGGGAUUUUGGUGUUGGUGCUUGUAAACAUUUUCAUCAAUAAUAUGGGAAAUGAUACCUGGAGAGAGAGAUUAUGAGAAAAUGUAUUGCCUCUUUUAGAGGUGGAAGCACACACCCUCUUCUAUGUGAACUUUGUUAUUAUGGUCAAAGAAUGCAUUCCUAGUUUUCAUUUGAGUACCCAGAUACACAAAAGAUGUCCCUUUAAAUAAAAUAAAGAAUCAAUUUUUACAUAAUAUUAGAUAUUACAAUCUGUCAUCUGGAGUAUAUUGAACAUAGGCUAUCCUUUAUUUAAUAUUCAUUUAAUUAUGGCCAUCCAAAUGAAUAUUAAUUAUUGCAGAAUUUAUCUUGUCCGUAAUUUGUCAACGGUGUUAUAGCUGAAUACCUGUGCAUGAAAAUGGGCAGUAUUUUCAUCUGUUUACUUGUAGUGCCAGAGAGGCCAAUAUGCACAAAAUUAACACCAAGACAUGGCUAUUUAAAAAAUUUCAUGUUCAAACAGUUAUCACUGAUGCUUUUGCAUGAUUUAUUAAUAAAAUCGUAUAUUGUG